Molecule: ribosomal RNA, 1065 nt
Filed under: Haloplanus vescus
Lineage: Archaea; Methanobacteriati; Methanobacteriota; Halobacteria; Halobacteriales; Haloferacaceae
Description: bacterial SSU rRNA
Rfam family: Archaeal small subunit ribosomal RNA
Source: RNAcentral
AGCAGGCGCGAAACCUUUACACUGCACGCAAGUGCGAUAAGGGACCCGAGUGCGAGGGCAUACAGUCCUCGCUUUUCAGUACCGUAGGGAGGUACUGGAAUAAGAGCUGGGCAAGACCGGUGCCAGCCGCCGCGGUAAUACCGGCAGCUCGAGUGAUGGCCGAUCUUAUUGGGCCUAAAGCGUUCGUAGCCGGCCACGCAAGUCCAUCGGGAAAUCCGCCAGCCCAACUGGCGGGCGUCCGGUGGAAACUGUGUGGCUUGGGACCGGAAGACCCGAAGGGUACGUCUUGGGUAGGAGUGAAAUCCCGUAAUCCUGGACGGACCGCCGAUGGCGAAAGCACUUCGGGAAGACGGAUCCGACGGUGAGGGACGAAAGCCAGGGUCUCGAACCGGAUUAGAUACCCGGGUAGUCCUGGCCGUAAACGAUGUCUGCUAGGUGUGACUCCCGCUACGAGCGGGUGUUGUGCCGUAGGGAAGCCGCUAAGCAGACCGCCUGGGAAGUACGUCCGCAAGGAUGAAACUUAAAGGAAUUGGCGGGGGAGCACUACAACCGGAGGAGCCUGCGGUUUAAUUGGACUCAACGCCGGACAUCUCACCAGCAUCGACAGCAGCAAUGACGAUCAGGUUGAUGACCUUGUCAGAGCUGUUGAGAGGAGGUGCAUGGCCGCCGUCAGCUCGUACCGUGAGGCGUCCUGUUAAGUCAGGCAACGAGCGAGACCCGCACUCCUAAUUGCCAGCACCGGGUUCGCCCGGGUGGGUACAUUAGGAGGACUGCCGUGGCCAACACGGAGGAAGGAACGGGCAACGGUAGGUCAGUAUGCCCCGAAUGUGCUGGGCUACACGCGGGCUACAAUGGCCGAGACAAUGGGUUCCAACCUCGAAAGAGGACGGUAAUCUCCUAAACUCGGUCGUAGUUCGGAUUGAGGGCUGAAACCCGCCCUCAUGAAGCUGGAUUCGGUAGUAAUCGCGUGUCAGCAGCGCGCGGUGAAUACGUCCCUGCUCCUUGCACACACCGCCCGUCAAAGCACCCGAGUGGGGUCCGGAUGAGGCCGAGUCCUCGGUCGAA